Molecule: long non-coding RNA, 25386 nt
Filed under: Oryza sativa (Asian cultivated rice)
Lineage: Eukaryota; Viridiplantae; Streptophyta; Magnoliopsida; Poales; Poaceae
Description: long non-coding RNA (OSAT_LNC001244)
Rfam family: MIR812 microRNA precursor family (bases 15405-15611)
Source: RNAcentral
CUGCGGCCGCCGCUAUCAUCCACAUUCUCGACUCUCGUCAGCCUUCACGAACACCACAGAUCGAUCUGCGGCGUUCGUUUGGUUUGGUCUGCGAUGUGCUUCUUCGUGUUUGUUUUGCUGUUCUCUUUCGUUUUUUUAGCUGUUUGGUUUGGUUUGGUUUGGUGAUCUGAGGAUGGACGCCGGCGAUGAGGAAGAACAUGGUUCGCUCGUCUGAACGGUGGGUUAUUUACCCACCUUGCAGAUUUUAAAAGUAGUCUGAGCCGAUGCAAAUUUCCUCUGGAUUCAUCGUUUUCCUUGAUGAGUUACUGGCUUUACAGUUUUAGACCUUAAAAAUCCUUUGUUUUCACUUAUGUUUCUGUCCAGUGAAAUCUCUCCGUUGGGAUAUUCAGUUGCAGUGAUGAGUAUCUCUUUUUUCGAGAGCAGGUCUCGAUCUGCUUGAUGAGUCUGGGAAAUAAUCACCUUAUUUCCUCCUGAGCGGUUACCUGAGCAACUCUUAGCACCAUCCAAACUCUUUGGAGUUUCCCCAACACAUCUGACUUUUCUUGGAAUACAAUUUUUUUUUUUUGCUUUCUUAGCUUCUUGUUUGUCUCACUUUGCUGAUUUAAUAGAUUAACGUUUGCAUAUAAUCUCAAUUUUCAGGUUCAUUUUCAACUGCAAAUUCAGAAUGUACUUAAAAACAUCAUUACGCAAGAGACACAAACUCUCUAGAAUGGCACACAUAUCAUUACAUCAAGUUUAGUAGAAAGCUACAUCAUAUGAUUGAGGACCAACACUUAACCUGCGAUUGCAAGUUGCCCUCAAACAAGAUCAGGGCAACGCAAGCAACGAAGGAGAUGGCAAAAAACACAUCCCCCGACAAGUUACAAUGUUCAGCUACAGCAGCAUCCACAGAUGACACUUAUGACAGAUGCAUCAUCUGCUUGGCACAAGACAACCAUAAGGUCGAAGAAACUUGCAAGAGCAAUGAAGAACGGUGUGUAUGGAAGAGAGCUAUGAUUGAUAUGUUAGGAGGCUUGAUCAUUCGUCGGUCUCUCUGGCAGGUGAUUCUCCUGCUCCAAGAAACGGACGACGAGGCAGGUGAUGUUGUCUGCGCUUCCCCUCUGUGAGGCCUCCUGGAGGAGCUUCUUUGCAGCCUGCUCUGAAUCCAGAAUUGGCUUCACCAUGGCCACAGCUUCCUGGGAUCACACGAGAAUACAUGUUAUUGCUUCAUUUUUUUCACAAGAGAACACAUGUUAUUACUUGCAUUUCAUAUAGGAGAUUUUGAGAAAUUAAAAAUACAUUUCAGAUAGGAGAUUUGGAGAUUGAAAAAACAUGUCAUUAGUACUUUAUUACUGGCUUCAGACUUCAGAGUUCAGAAACAUGCAUUUCAGAGAGGAGAUUUGGAUAAAUUAAAAUGAUUCAGAGAUCAGAAACAUGCAUUUCAGAAAGAUAUUUGGAGAAAUUAAAAUGAUUCAGAGUUCAGAAACAUGCAUUUCAGAAAGAGAUUUGGAGAAAUUAAAAUGAUUCAGAGUUCAGAAACAUGCAUUUCAGAGAGGAGAUUUGGAGAAAUUAAAAUUAGUGUGUACCUCGUUGGUCACCACGUCCCAGAGGCCAUCACUAGCAAGGAUGAGGAACUCGAGAGAGCUGUCGACCACCUCCUCCUGUACAGAUCAAAUAAGCAGAUAAAUGUCGAAUUUCGAUUUGCAACAGUACAUAACGUAAUAUGGUCGUAUCCUGAAAUCGUUCAUGGCCUCUAUGCAUAUACUUUCUUUAUGAGCUGCAUGAAUUAUGAAUUUGAGAUUGGAAGAAACUUGAGGACCUUGAUCUCUGGAUCAGCAACCACAUAUUGCUUCAGGAGUUUGUCACCAAAUGCUCGAGAGACAGCAAGAACACCACCCACGCGCCAUGUUCCUACAAAAUUUCCGCCAACAGAAUUUUAGCAUUUUUAUAGAUUAAGGACUUGGUGUUCAAUGUCGAAAAAAAGGGUAAAUGUAGCAUCAGCACAAUGAAUAGAUCAAGAGUUGAAAUACCAGCCCACAUCACAAAACCACCAGCAUCCUCUAUCCUCUGCCUCUCGUCUGACUGAUCAGGCUUGUGGUCUCUUGACACAGCUAUAGCUGCAUCAUCAAGAUGAAAUAAUGCAUCACAAAACUGAGGUUUCAAUCAUUUUAGAAGCAAAUUGUAAUAGGUAAUAUAGAGUUGCUCGGUUGACACAACGAACAUUCAUGAUACAGACCAGGACAGGACAUUGGUUGAAAAACAUGUACAGGUGAAGCACUUACGCUAUCUGCCCAACAAUCAGUAAAGUAAACAUGAAUUGAAAUGUUCUUAAUCUUACCAUCUCCUCCUCUACAAAUGACAGCCCUAGAAUCUCCAACAUUUGCAACGAGCAGACGGUCGCCUACGAGAAUUGCAGUGGAGGCAGUCGACCCUGCAUCUCGAUUGUGGCUGGUUUCAGCUUUCAGAAGUUCAGAGUCCGUGCUAGUGUAAGUUUCAGCUGCAGGACAGAAUGUUCAGGGAAUUAAACAUCCAAAGUGCAAACAAAAUUUUUGGGUGAAGUAGUUUGCUUUAGAGAAAAUAGACACAGAUAAAUAGCACAAUACCAAUUGCAGACUUGGUAUCACUGAAUAACUUUGGGUGCUUGAUUAAAUUGGUGAAGAGGUUCUGCUUGACGAAUUCUGCUGCUCGAGCUCCACCAUGACCUGCAGAAAACAAACCACGUAGUAUUACGAUCAGUAAUCACUGAAUAAGCAGGUGACGAUAUUUAUUUAAGUCAACACAAAACACUAAUUGCAUCAUGAAAAAGCAUCAGAUUACCAUCAAAGACACCAAACAGUCCAACGGUCUCUCCAUCGACACCAUCAAUUCUGGUGUCAUAGAAGUCCUCCAUGGAGGAUCUUUUUCCAGGAGAGCUCGCAUAACCAUAGCUAAAUUUACCAUUUGCACUGUCAUGAUAACACAAGAAGAACAACAAUAUCAGGUAAUAAUAACAGAAACGAAUUCUCUGUCAAUGGCUAUAUACAGAUAUUCGAAACUAACACUCCCAAUCCAAAAUGAAAAAUCACCCAUCUAAUAAAUAAAAACCCCCAUCGUUUGGCUUUUUUCAUAAUAAGCCAAAACGGCUUAUUAGGAAAUAAAAAUAAAUUUGUAGGUAAAACUUUUAUAUAUGCGUUCUGGGUGAUUUAAAAACCAAUGUUGUUAAAGAAACUACGUUGAAAAUAUCUCAAAAUCAAUCUUAAAAUUAAGUUUAAAAAUUUUAAAUUUGGCUUAUUCGUUGGCUGUUCGGCCCCCAACUUGCUUAAAACGGAUCAAACGAAAACGAAAUCAGAAAGAGAGAUGAAGCGAAACGGAAUACCUGAACCCGCCGCCACUGCCAGGCGAGCCAGCGGCCUCUCCGGCGAGCCCCAUCAAGCGCACCUCGCCGUCGUCCUCCUCCUCCUCCGCUCCCUGCGAGAGACAGGAGCAGCACGGGAACAGCGACAACAAGGCGAGAACCACCAACGAGCCGAGGAGGAGCACCUCACGCAUGCACGCGAACGACGGAGGAGGAAGAAGAAGAGGAUGGCGAUCGAUCCGGGGAACGCGGAGCUCGCUCGUGUCCCCCCUCCCCCCCUAUAAUGGAGGACCGGACGCGCGCGCGCGCCGGGCGUCACGUGGCGCCACGCCGUGCGCGCCACGCCCGCGCCCAUGGUUGGUUUUGGUCUUGUGGUUCUCCUCCUCCUCCUCCUGCUGCUGCUGAGCACGGACGAACACCUCGUCGUGGGAGACGAGGAAAUGGGAGGUGACCUCCACGUGGCGCGAGGGCGACCCGACCGGAGCUCGCGCGGGGCGACACGUCGUCGCCGUGGACGACGGUUUGGCGCCUUCUUUCGCGGUACACGUCAUGGUGGCGAGAUGCAUCGAACAAACUCCGUACUAUUCAACUGUUUGAUGCUUUCCACCGUCCAGAUGUUGCAAAUUAAGUGCUUCAUAUGCUCUUUAUUUUUUAGAAAUUUAAUAAUUUAGCAAUUGUUUUUGUUAAUUUACUUGAACGGAUACUAAUGAAGAUGAUACUACGUAAGAUCAUCUAAAUGCAUAAAAGUGAAUUAGGAUAUCAGAUAAUCGAGACCUAAUUUAAAAGUACAAAAUAGGGUCGGAUCAAAUACUUCCAACGUGUUGAAACAUCUGGAAACGUGUUGAAAGUUCACGAAUCGAACCCAACGCGUUCGUACUCGCCACCGACUCAGAAGUCGGAAAUUAAACUACUCCUUGUAUAGAAAAAUCGAAAGGCUUUUCAGAUUCAAUCAUCAAACCAAACCUGUUCGAUCGACUUCGCCCCGGUUCGAAGUUCGCCCGCCAUGGCCGCCGUGUCGUGCCGGUGCAGCAGCGUGGUGUUCGUCGGCAACGUCUCGUACCGGGCCACCGAGGCGGAGCUCCGCGACGCGUGCGAGGAGAUCGGCCCCGUCGAGUCGCUCCGCCUCGCCGUCGACGAGGACGCCGGCAACCGGCGGAGGGGCUUCGCGUUCGUCGAGUACCUCGACGACGAGACCGCCCGCAGCGCGUGCCGCAACCUCGACCGCCGCGCCCUCCGCGGCCGCGCGCUCCGCGUCGACCUCGCCGACCUGGGCUGCGGCGGCGGCGGGGGCGAGACGGACUAGCCAGUGGGCGUCGAGGACGCCACGCACGCGGCGUCGCUCGUCAACGGCGCGCCACCCAGCGCCGCCGUCACGGCGUACCUCGCCGGGCUGAACCGGCGGCAGCUGCGCGAGACGGUGGACGCGGUGGAGGCGCAGGGGGACGCCGCCGUGGAGGAGAUGAAGCGGGCGUACGCGGGGCUCGCCACGCUGCUCGAGCAGGCAAGGAUACUGCUCGACAUGGCCGACGCCGACGCCGCCGCCGCGGCGGCGAAGCGCAAGAAGCGCGGCGCGAGGGAUCACCACCACGGCCGUGAGGCCCAGCUUGCGUCAAAGCUGAGGAAGCUGAACGAUGGCAAGCCCAGCACAUCCAUGGCGUUUGUACUGUAGCUAGUCGUUCACAACCCAAUCGCAGCCCAUGGGCCGGUUUCAGCUGGGCCGGCCCAAGCACAGAGAAUUUCACCGGCAUCCUGCACAACGAGAUGGCACGGCCGAGAUGACUACCGAUAGAGUAAAACGUGCUCGGUUAAACACGAUUCGCCAUUUCGCCCCCACGUCGGCCCGCAGAUCGUACGAGGUCUCUCCACGACACACAUUUGCAUUAGCCACUGCACACAAAACCAUAUGUGCACAGCAAAAAGAUCAACUGGAGGCAAUGGGUGGAUUUUGCCGACAUGUGGGCGUUUAUUUUCCUUGGACAAGAUCAGUGCUUUCCACGGUAGCAGAUCUAGAUCCACAGGUAUAAUGCAUUUGCAUAUGGUCACAACAAUGUCAGGUCUUUAUGAAACACGCGCCUCUGCAAGACUGCAACAUACAGCCUUCACAAACGUACAACCUGCGUUUAAUUUCGGCCUUAAGCCACAGAAUGUUAACGAUUCUAUCUACCAACUGUAACUGCAUAUAGCCACAUUCAUGACUGAUAAGAUAAUUUCAGAUAAAAGUAGUAGAUGAAAUUUGAGCUAUUUAAUCAUGUAUUAAGUUAAAAAAGUUGAAAUAUCUUAUAGUAUAUGAAAUGGAAGUAGUAUAGGAGUCCGCAUAACAUUGUGAUAGGAAUAGACAAAGGUAAAAUUGCUCAAGACUUCAAACCUACUCCCAAAAUAAGCAAACGUAAAAUAAGAUGGAAAAUAACCUAGUAUAAAGAAUCUGGAUAUGGCUAUAUCUUAUCAUAUUUUAGGUUUCUUUAUUUUGGAAAAAAAAAGUUUUGGGCUCAUUUGAAUUGCAGGAACGAAAAAAAAUAAAGCAAUAGAAAAAACAUAUGGUUCUGACAGAAAUGCAAGUGUAAAACUAUAAUUAUAAAAUACAAAAAAAAACAUAUGAAUAACUAUUAAAAUUACAUAAAUUUGAGAAGAGAUAAAGACUUAAAGGAAACUUCCCAUAAGAUUCUACCUCUUAAAUUUCCUCCAAAACUUACAUGAAAUGAGACAUUUUAUAGAAUUUCUUAGAAUUUAAUGUUUUGAUUCGGAGGGCUAUAUAAGAAAAAAGUCUUAUAGGAAUAAAUUCUCUAAAAUUUCUAUGAUUUUCCUUUAAAUCAAAGGGGUCUAAAUGUCCCAUUCUAUUUUAACAUGGGAUGGAGGGACUAAGGGUCCCUUUGAAUCGCAUGAAUGGAAAAACGGAGGAAUAGAAAAAACGUAGGAUUUUGACAGGAAUGCAAGUGUAAAACAGAGGAUUGAAAAAUACAGGAAAAACACAGAAAUAACCGUUUGAUUGGACCACAAGAAAAACGCAGGAAUCGGAUGAGAGAGAUAGACUCAAAGGAAUUUUUCCAAGAGGUUGGACCUCUUGUUAACUUUCCUCCAAAAUCUCUAUAGGAUUAGUCAUUCUAUAGGAACUUUUAAGGAUAGUAUUGGAUCCAAUCCUUUAUUUCAAAGGCUUUCAUAGGAAUUUUUUUAAUAGGAUUAAAAUCCUUCAAAUUUCCUACACUUUCCUACCAAUCAAAGGGGCCCUAAAGUUCAAAAGUCUAUGAAUCGCAUAUGAACUGACACCGAAAUGCACUACUCGCAAAGAAGUGCAUUUGUGUGUCAUCUUUUCAGUACUGUACAGUGUACACAUUGCAUGUCUAGUGACCAGUGACACGGGUGUGACAGGGAAGGGGGGCCUGAUUGUCUGGAUCUUGGUGUCCUCUCUCUGACACUCCGAUAUUCAUCUUCAAUUAAAUUUAGGUCUCUCACCAAAAUUUUAGUCUCUGAGAGGACUAAAGUUUAGUCCCUCCCACCCAAACAUCACCUUAAAUCGUGUAACUAAAGAUUAAGGGACUAUUUAGUUUACGAACAAAAACUUUUGGCGUGUCAUAUUGGAUAUACGAACACACAUUUAAAGUAUUAAACAUGGAUUAAUAACAAAACAAAUUGCAGAUUCCGUCUUAAAAUUGCGAGACGAAUUUAUUAAGCCUAAUUAAUCCGUCAUUAGUAAAUAUUUACUGUAGUACCACAUUGUCAAAUCAUGGCGUAAUUAGGCUUAAAAGAUUCGUCUCGCAAUUUACACGCAAUUUGUGUAAUUGGUUUUUUUUAAUCUAUAUUUAAUAUCCUAUAUAUAUGUCCAAAUAUUUAACGUGACGGAGUGAAAAACUUUUUGUUUCGAAACUAAGGCUGUGUUUAGUUGGAUCCAAAGUUUGGAUUUUGAUUGAAAUUGGAGAUGAUGUGACUGAAAAGUUUUGUGUGUAUGACAGAUUGAUGUGAUGGAAAAGGACGGAAGUUUGGAUCUAAACACAGUCUAAACAGGCUCUAAAGAACGUGACGUGCAGACGAGAGGAACACACUCCCAUGCCGGAUCUCUGCCACUGUCCUCUGCAAUCUAGGAGGAGUAACUUUUGAUGACAAGACGACGUGCCUGCAAAGGUGUCACGUCCUGAGCUCUUUGCAGAGUCAGGAUAUGCCUUCCUUGCCUCAUCAGGUUUCCGUGCUCAAACUUCCAAAGCUGCCCACUUUGAAGUUUGAAAAAGAAGCAAGAAACAGAGAAAAGAACAGCAUGCAAAGAAUGGCCGUGUGCCUUUUUUUCCUGCAUUGUGGACGGAAGAACAGGUCGCAAUUUUCUGCCUCGUUUGUUCAGUACCAAGAACACAGAUAUAUGUGCAGUUAUUCAGUUGAUUCUGACGGUAGGUGGGAAUAGAAAUUGUACUACCUGAAACCUGAUCGUUCGUCUUAUUUUAUUUUUUUUAAAAAAAUAUAAAGAAUAAGUCACGCAUCAUAUUUUAUAAUCUAAUAACAAUAAAAAUACUAAUUAUAAAAAAAAAUUAAAUAAGACGGAUGAUCAAAGUUAGGUAGAGAACUUAUGGCUGCACUUAUUUUGGGACAGAGGGGAGUAGUACGAUUUGGUUUUGCAGAACUUUUUGUAGUAGUACUAAAACACAGAAGUCAGAAACAGGCAACAUUCUGUUUCUGUUGAACGGGUUUCGCUUGAUUGGACAUGAUGGCAGAAAAGAUGAUGGAGCACUCAAGAGAGAAGCUGCAUUCUGCUGCAAUUGAAGAGAAGAAUGGCAUCAUAAUUACGAAUAAUAUACUAUUCUCAUCGAUCAGGUUUCAGUUCUGAUCACAGCUUAAUCAGUGACUUGCACAUUAUGAUCAAGGGAGUAUUCGCCGCUUCCCCAUUUUAUGUGCCCCGGCCUUUCUCCUCCGGCUAGUUCGAUCUCAAUCCCCUCUUUCUCCAUCCAAAGAUCUCUCUUCCUUCGCAUCUAUUUUCCUGAAAAGAAUGAAUUCAAAAUGUUACUAUUUGUUUCCUGCACCAUUCAAACAUUCAAUAUUACAGAACAAGGUUCAAGUUCUCAAAAAAAAAAAAAAAACAAGGUUCAAGUUCUGAACUUCUGAUGCAUUAUAACAGUUCCACAUGGCGCAAAGGUAAAUGACAAGCAUCCAAGCAUGUAAUUGAAACAAUGAAUAAAGUUACUAAAUAAUGAGUUAUGAUCCAUAAUCUCAGUUACAUUGUUCAGAGUGAAUUUAUCCAUUCAACGGACGAAGACUAAUGGGCAGCAGUACUCUAUACGACGAUACAAAGACCUAACAAUUUCUCAAGACAGGACUGAUUGUGUAUAUAGAGGUUCUGACCAUUCUUAUACUACCAGAGAGAAGUAUUUAGGUUGUGCUUGCAAAAAAGGACUCUGAAGAUGACCACACAACUGAAUGUACUAUAAGAAUCUCCUAGAAAAAAGAAUGUACUACAAGGCAUACAUGUUCCGUUGUCUAAAUGAAUAUAUCUUCAGCCAACAAUGGAAAAGUGAUUACGAUAGCUCACUAAGAAAUAAAAGAAAUGGAUCACAGCAAGGGUUGCAAUUAAACCACAGGAUGAAGGUACAUUGUUUGAUAGGUCACCAUUAUGAUGGCCUCAAUGUCACUUGAACAACUUCUACAAGCAUGAGUGCAUCAAGCUAGAAAGAAAGUAUGAUCAGCAAAACACCUAAAUGGCAUACUGAUCAUAUGUGUAGUAAACACUUAUGUAAAGCACACAUGUCAGUGUUCCCCCCAAAGCAACUAAACAACUAACCAUGCAAGUAAAGGAACAAUGAAGGCAAUCUUGCCGAACAAAGGAUUUAAACACACCACCAACCGCUCAGUCCAUGACAAUGAAAACAAUAUGCUUUCCCUAAGCUACAGAUCAUGGCCAAUGUGGACCACAAUUGGGUACACCUGCGACAACUAGUACGCGAUAAACAGGUAAAGUUAGCAGAAGUUACAGUGCUAGGCAGUUGUAAGCAUAUUGCAAGUGCACACCUCCUGAAUUACUACACCCUUUUCAGUACCAAAACUGGCCAUUGUGUGGAGAUUAUCUAACUUUUACUGUUCACACCAUUGUCCUUUCCAUUCUCCCGGCCUAGCAAAGACAUUCCACCCCCACAUUCAGUUAUGAAAUUAACAGUAGAGCAUGUUCUGCUAUGUUCUACACUUCCUAUUCUAAAUGACAUGAGACACAGGGUGAAUUGCAACUAGGUGCUGUUCUGUACUCCCCCGUCCCAAUACGUAAGGGAUUUACCCGGCAAAAAAAUAUAUAAGGGAUUUUGAGUGGAUUUGACACAUCCUAGUAUUAUGAAUAUGAACAGAGAGCACGUCCAAAUUUGUAGUACUAGGAUAUGUCACGUCCAUCCAAAAUCUCUUAUAUUUUGGGACGAAGGGAGUACGAGGCAUUAGCAGUUGCACGGAAGUGGCAAGCAAGGGCCAACCACUGCAGAUCCUGAACUCCUAGAAGAAAGAUGGGGCCGUACGCGUGCCAAAUUAACAACCAAAGCACACACAUAUACCAAGAUGCAUGAGAUUAAUGUGGACAUUGAUUAGUACUGUCAUCAGAUAUCGCAAUCUUGGACCUCGAUAGAAAAAAGGGUCAAGAAAAACGCCUCUUGUUUUUGUCAUAGGACGUACUACUAAUUAACCAACAGCAUCAGAUCCCUAGAGCAGACUUACACAGAAGCAAUGACAAAACAGCAAUGGUCCCUGUCAUCCCAACAUCAGAUUAAUUGCUUUUCGGACUAACACACAUCAGAUCAGUUUAUUUAUUAUCAAAUAAUUAAACAAGAUUAGGAAAUCUCAACACUUUGACAAGAAAAAUAUCCCCACCGCAAACAGCACAUCAACACAUUACUCUCAAGGAGACGAGACGAAAAUGCGUUGAGACUUGAAACAGUACAGAACAUCACUGUCAUUUUCCCUUGUAAGACUCAAUGUCACUAAAAAACAAUCGACUCCACCCGAAUAAAUCACUUGCUAGAAUUUUGUAACCCGGAUAAUCAAGAACUAGUUGCUCAAAGGUAGCAUGUGCUACGGUGCAUCUUUUAUUACGCUACUGUAAGUUUAUACCAACAGGUUCAUGCUUUUUAAUCAAUAACAGUGAUUAAACAGUGGCAUUGCGAAUCCGAAUUGCGAAACAGUAUUAGCACUGGUAUGAAAAAGAAUGGCUGAGGGAGAAGAAUUGAGCCCUAACCUCCUCCUCCGCUCCCGCGUUCCUGGCAGCUCAUCGACCUCCCGACCUUGCCGGCGGCGCGUUCUUGGUGGCGGCUAUCGUUGGCCACCUUCGCCGAGUGAACCCUGAAUCCGGCGCCAGCCCUGCCGGCGUCGGGGACCACAUCGUCGGGCGCCGUCUCGACAUACUUGGCGGCGCCCAUCUCCAUCUGCGCGAUGCGCACGGCGCCGAAGAGCCUCUCGGGGAGCUCCUCCUCGGACUGGGACUCGACGAGGAACCCCAUGUCGAUGGUGACGGAGGUGACCGCGCCGAGCGCGAGGUGGAGGAUGGCGCUGGCGAUGGCGGAGCUGCCGAUGUCGACGUCGAUCUCGAGGUAGCCGUCCCCGCCGUGGUAGCGGCAGGUGAGCGCGCGGCCGAGGAGGCAGGCGGCGUAGUUGCCGACGGUGGCGCGCACCAGCCACGGGCCCUUCACGAUCCGGUUCACGAUCUUGAACCGCGCGUUCCGGUACGCGUCGUCGCCGUGGACGAACCGCCCCAGCAGCGACUCCGCCGGGAUCGCCGCCUCCGCCGCGAAGUAGAACACCGCGCUGUACGCGUCCGGCCGCCCCGGCACCUGCACACGAACCGAACCAAGAGAUUGAUUGUCACAAACAAUUCGAUCGGCGUCGACGCGCAGAUGCGAUCGAUCGGGGGGGGGGGGGGGGGGGAACGGACCUGGAGAUUGACGGCGAGGAGGAAGUGGGCGGAGGGGUCCUUGCGGAGGCGGGCGCGGCGGAAGGCGGCGGCGACGGGGAUGUCGUCGCGGGCGAGGACGUGGUCGAGGCGGGAGUGGCUCCUUAACCAGUCGACGCCGGCGGGGCGGAGGAGCCACUCGGCGGCGGAGGGCGCCUUCCCGCGCCUCCCACCCCCACCACCGCCACCGCCGCCGCCGCCGCCGCCGGAAAAGUACCCCCUCGCGCGCAGGUGGAACAAAUCCCCCGGCGGCGAGGCCCACCCAUUGGCGCCCCUCUCCAGGUCCACCUGCCUCAGCGAUGCGCCCGACACCGCCUCCUCCCUCCACCCCUGCUGCUGCUGCUCCUCCGCCUGCUCCCUCCUGGGGCUCAUCGCCGCCGGCGAGGGGAGAGACAAUAAAAGAAAAAACAAAAAAGAAAAAAAAAGGAAGGGAUUUUUGGUUGGGGGAGGAGAGGAGGUGGGUUCGGUGUUUUUGCGCGAAUGGAGGGAGGAGUUGGGGGUCGCUGCUUCUUCUUCCAGCUCUACCUAUAAAACAGUGGGAAAGAAAAGGAAAAAGGAAUUUUUGAUGCGUGAUUCGUAGAGGAACCAAAAUAAAGGUCUCGCCUUUGCUUUGAAGCACCUCUCCCCCUCCCUAAUUUGCACUUCUCUUGUUGAUUAUCUUGAUGUUUCUAUUUUUUUUUCUCGAAACACGGGACAAACGCGGAUGCUAGAAUACAUACGUGUACAGUCAUCUACAGAUUGAUGGAUCAUCGUGAGGUUUUUUCUUCCUUCCGAAACAUGAGACAAGCAUGGAUCGCGAAUGCUAAGAGGGUGUUUGGGUGAAAGUUUAGUCCCUCUCACCCAGACACCCCCUAAUAUAUAUACGUGUACACUCAUUUGUAGAUUGAUCGAUCAUCGUGAGGUUUUUUCUUCCUUCCCAAACAUGAGACAAGCAUGGAUGCUAGUAUACAUACGUGUACACUCGUAUCUAGAUUUAUCAUCGCAAUGUUUUAUUUUCGAAUGCGGUUACUCGAAUAUUUAUGUAGUUAUGUACAUACUCAUCUCCAUAAAUAUAAUAUGAGCAAAAAGAAAAAAAAACUCUUGUCUUUGCAUUUAAGCAUCUCUCGUCCUCCCUAAUUUGCCCUUCUUUCGUUGAAUAUCAUGACUUUUUUUCGAAACACAAGAUAAAAGCGGAUGCUAAUAUAUAUACUUGUACACUUUUCUAUAGAUUGCUGACUAUGAUUUUUUUUCUCAAAACACGGGACAAACGUGGAUGCUAGUAUACAUAUGUGUACAGUACACUCAUGUAGAUUUAUCACCACGAUGUUUCUUUUUCUUCUCAGAACAUGCGGACGCGGAUGCUCAUAUAUAUACGUGUACACAUCUCUAUAAACAUAACAUACGCAAAGGAAAAAGCCCUUACCUUUGCGUUUAAGCAUCUCUCGUCCUUCCUAAAUUGCACUUAUCAUGAUGUUUUUUUCGAAACACGGGACAAACACAGAUGUCCAAUGUGAUAUUUUUUUCCCUAAACACACGACAAACGUGGACGCUAGUAUACCAAUGUGUAACCCACCCUCCCCUCCCCCACUCCCAGUAUACACAUGUGUACACAUCUCUAUAAAACGUAACACGCGUAAAAAAAAGCUCUCACCUCUACGUUUAAGCAUUUCUCCUCCUCUCUAAUUUGCGCUUCCGUGUUGAUUACCAUGAUGGUUUUUUUUCAAAACAUGGGAUAGACAAGGAUGCUGGUAUAUAUACGCGUACACUUAUCUUCAUAAACUUAACAAGUAGAUUCUAUUCAUUUGAUCACCUCCAAAAAAAAAAUGGACUAUUGACGAAGUACCUUGGUGUGUUAGCAUUGUUUUUCUUCAACUAGUAAUUACCAAUUAUAAUGCGUGAUACACGUUGCACUAUCCAUGAAAUUUAUCAUAAUUUUUAGAUAAUCCGUAUGUAACAAUUUAUGAUGAUCACAAACACGGUUAACGUUUUCGACUAACAAAGACCAAAAAACCCCAUGAAAUAUAGAGGUUUCGAUGCAGUACAAAAGCAGAUUCUAUGAAAUUCGGAAUGGUUUUCAAUAAUUCAAAUUUAAGACAGUAAAAUCAGCCAAAAUUUGAUUAAAAUUUAGUGAAAUUUAACAAAAAAAAACUGUCAUGUCGCUAUGGUCGAUCGGAAUCCGGCACUCAAUCAGAAGGGUAAACCAUAAUCCGUGAGCGUAUAAGAAAACCGGCGAGGAGUCGUAGGAAGAAACAACAGACGAGUAAGCGAUAGAUAGUUGGAUCUCGAAUUUGCGUUGCUGCCUUCGUGGGAACGAACGGUCGCCACGCCUUCGCCUGCGUACGUGCUUGUCCUGUCCGGCGACGGCGACGGCGGCGGCGGUGGCGAGGAUCCACGUACGCUGACAUGUGGGGACACACGGCGGCGCCGUACGCCGGCGCGUGGACUCGCGACACGUGUACAUGCGACGGAACAGUUGAGGGGUUGGAUCUGAAUCAUCUGAUCUGAUCACGAGAUGCGAUCGUGCGAUGCGCCACCGACAAGAUUCGGGGGGGUCGUAGUGCCUCUUAUCGCAUCGACCGUCCAGUCUCCAUCCGACGGUCCGAAAGUAGGACACGUCGAACAAUGCAUAUACAUACUGUACAUGAUUACGCCUACGUGUGUCAGCAACAGUAUUUUUCUUUAUAAUUACACAAUGCAACUUAGACACUCCCAACGUAUGGGCACUCACCCCUAUGAACACACGCACACAAACCCUACCCAGAGCAUCUUCGAAGACUGCCUACCACUGAAAGCACAAUGCCGAUAAAUCCGCGAAGAUUGCCUACCACUGAAAGCACAACGCCGAUAAAUCCUGAAAAAUUCGCUCCCAUAUAGAGUCGAACCUAAGAUCUAAGGUGCUACUGAGUUUCUUGUAACCAUUAGGCUAUAGGCCCUUUCGCGUGUCAGCAACAGUAUUAUGGCUGAAGGAGCCGCAAGCACUCACCAAUUGUACAUGCAUGGCCGUUUGCUUGGCAAAUACAGAAUCACAUGAUACAUCAAUUUUUCAACUUGCACGAGAUAAAAAGUGACUGCUUAAUUGGGCAUGCAAAUUUUCAACGCAACUAUGCACAUCAUUUGUACUGUUGUACAAUACUUGCGCAAUGGACUGACAACUGAUGGAAGUAUAUAUAAUCGAAACUGGAAGUACUCCUUCCUCCAUUUCAGAAUGUAAGACUUUCUAGCAUUAUCUAUAUUCAUGUAGAUGUUAAUGAAUCUAAACACAUGUAUAUGCUUAGAUUCAUUAAUAUUCAUAUGAAUAUAAGCAAUGCUAGAAAGUCUUACUUUAAGAAACGGAUGGAGUACUUAAGAGUGCUUAGCAAUCUUUACCUUUUCAUUCCUGUUUUAUUAAAAACCGACCAAAAAGGUAAAACCCGAUAACUUUCGAUAAACGUCAUAUAAAAACCGACUAAUAUCGAUCGGUUUUCAUAUAUUGAGAUCUAAUCGGUUUAGUGAACCCUCAUACUAUGUAUAGCUACUAAUAAUAAGGUAGCAGUUGGCAGUUGUGAGUCGUCUCUGCUACUUCUUCAGUUAGCGUCAAGAUGUGAGGCCAGAUCAAGAUGGCAGUUUAAAGCAUCCACAGCUAGCUAAGCUCCAUGGUCGACGGAGUAAGGCUACAGUACACAAACAUGUGGAUAUCGGUUUAUAAUAAUCUUGCGACGAAAUUAGUAGUAUAUCGAGACUCGUGUCUGUUGAAUCUAUCCAUUAUCAAACACCAGUGGCCGGCGUGUUGUGUCCAUGUGCAACAACAGUAUAAAUUAUACCUCCUGGCACUGACAAUCUCCUCUUAAACUUUCCCAUUCUUUGACAAAAUAUUGAAAUGAGAGCUGACCGAUUUAUGAAGAAGAAGCAGGGCCUGUUUGGCAGCUCAAGCUCCAGCUUCAUCCUUUCUGGAGCUGAAGCUCAGCCAAACAGUUUUAGCUCCACCAAAACUGAGAGUAGAGCUGGGUGAAGUUCUCUCACAAAAUAAACUAGAGUUGUGGAGUUGGGUUUAGGCAGCUCUAUAACUCCACUCCAGACCCAACUCCUAGAGCUAAUUUAGAAGUUGGAGCUGUACCAAACAGGCCCGCAAUCUACUCCUAUCUCUGUUCUUGCCUUGAUCCAUCCUCUUUAACCAACUUUGUGAAUACUGAACAAUUCAGUCUGAAAGUUACAAUACCCUUGAAUACUACUCCCUCCAUCCCAAAAAAGACAAACCAUGGGUUUCCGUGUCCAACUUUUGACCGUCCGUUUUAUUUGAAAAAAUUAUGAAAAAAAUUAAAAAGACAAGUCACGCAUAAAGUAUUAAUCAUGUUUUAUCAUCUAACAACAAUGAAAAUACUAAUUUAAAAAAAAGUUCAUAUAAGACGAACAGUCAAAUGUUGGACACGGAAACCCAGGAUUUGUCUUCUUUUUUUUGGAUGGAGGGAGUACUUUGAACGAAAUGCAUGCCUCUGAAUAUUAUUAUUAAAGUAAAUUUCAGAAAAUCCUAUAUUUUAUGGUCAUAAUGCAUGAAGUAUUAAGCAUAAAUUUGAUCAUAAAACAUGGAGUAGUAUUAAGCAUAACUUAGAAAUGCCUAGCUAACAAGUUGCAGUUGGUUAGGCUGCCAAAUGAUUGGCCAAUCGAGCCAAUGCAACUGCAAGCAGCGGCCAGAAUUAUGCGAUCGAUCGGCGAGCACAUGCACACCCACUUGCAGUGCAGCUAGCAAAACAUUGGACAGCGCAUUUAUGCAUGCACACCGGCCGGCGCGGUUGGAUUCAAACUCAAACAUGGCAAAAACAUCUUUGAAUAAUCCACGGAGAAACAAAUGUUCAGUCAGUCUUUGCAUUGGAAUGCUAGCCAUCGGCAGCCAGUUGCCUCUUUCUUUCUAUCAGCUACAACUACUCUUUUUUAUCUUAAAAUAUAAUAAUUUACAACAUUCUAAUAAUAAAAUACUAUAACUUCUUCUCCUCGUAAUCGGGAUUGCCUACACAUUUGUCGGGUGAUUUUUAACAAGAAAUCACCCAUAUUUUUUUUACACUUAGAUUUAUAUCCAACGGACUACAAAAUAAAAUAACUAAUACAAAUUUACUUAUUCAAUAUUUUUAUCAAAAUUAUAGUGCACUUACAUAUCAUAUCAACUAAAUUUACAUAUGUAAUUUUAGUUAUAUAGGACUGUAAUUUUAUAUUUUAAAUACUUACAUGUCAUAUCUACUGAAUUUACAAAUGUAAUUUUAGUUAUAUAGGACUGUAAUUUUAUAUUUUAAAGAAAAUAACAAAUACAUAUUUACUUACACUUUAUUUUUAUAAAAAUUACAGUGCACUUACAUGUCAUAUCAACUGAAUUUACAAAUGUAAUUUUAGUUAUAUAGGACUGUAAUUCUAUAUUUUAAAGAAAAUAACAAAUACAUAUUUACUUACACUUUAUUUUUAUCAAAAUUACAGUGCACUUGCAUAUCAUAUCAACUGAAUUUACAAAUGUAAUUUUAGUUAUAUAUGUCUGUAAUUUUAGUUACAUAUAAGUUACAGUGUAAUUACACUAUAAUUAUAUUGUAAUUACAUCUGUCAAAUUUCUAAAAAAAAAUUAUCGGCAAAUAUAAAAAAAUUGAAUAGAACAGGUUUCUAGAGAUGGUAGAUUUGUUGGGCAUGGCCGCAUGGUGGUGUAAUCUAGAAGGUCGUCCCGUCCGGCGAUCGUCUCCACUCCUCAUGCCCAAAGGGACGAGCACAGUGCGAACAAGAUCAUCCCGACCGGCUGACCACGCAUGCAGCCUCCACCAUCGUGCGGUCAGCAAAUCCGUGAAAUCACCGGGAAAAAAUCACACGACAGAUUUCUAGCGAAAUCGAAAGUGAAAUGUACAAUACCCCAUGAGAAUCAUGCAUGUUCUAAAAUAUAACUUCUCCUCCCGCUAGUAAUAUUUAACUAUUCAAACUCUUCACAUACUUUCUCAUCUCAACCAAUCAUAACAUUAUCAUAAAAUUUUACCAUUUCUUAAAAACAUUAUCAUAACAAUUUACCAUAUUUUUAGAAAACUAAAAGGGAAAUAAUACCCCAUGAGAAUUGGGGGUUCAAAAUUACAGAACAAAAUCAGUUCUAUCGCCCCCCCCCCCUCCUGAUACAAUAUUAUUUCGUCUGAGAUUUUUUUAAUUUGGUAAUAUUUGUUCAAAUUUGUUUGAAUUUUGUUUAAAAAAAAUCAAAUAACUGUGGACCAAAAUAAUCAAAAUUUCAGCCAUAUUGUUACCCCUGAUACAAAUGGCUAAAAUAAUUAAAUAAAGAUCGAACCUUGAAAAUCAUGCUAGGGUCAGCAUUCGAAUCCAGGUGGGCUCGACGAACACCCUCGCACCACGCUAGAGCUAUGCUCAGUUGUCAACAAUUUACUAUUUAAUUUUACUUAUUUUCUUAAUACUCUUAUCUAAUUUUAAAAUCUCUUUGGACGGAAGAGAUUAGCUAGCUUUCUUCUUUCUCCUGCUGCUGCUGAUGCAUAUACUGUCAUAUACUGUAUGAGCUUGUUUUAUUCGCUAAUGCGUUUGCUUAAGCCAAUCGUUAGACAGAGAGACAGCAGCCAAGUGGACAGAAAAACAGCAGCAGCAGCACACGCAUGCGUGAUCACCUGGCUGUAUUCUCUCCUCUCUCCUCUGCGCUGGUCGCAGUUGUUGCCAGCAGGGAGUUCAGAUGAUUGUUUUGAUCUGAAUAAUUCAGAUUUCAGGCUGGUCUUAAACAUUUUGGAGAUGGGAAGUUUACAGGAAAUCUUUGCUGCUGCUCUCUUCUGGAUGAUUUGUCCACUUGUCAGAAGUGAAGCAACAUCUAGCUUGAAGCAUAAGCGCAGGAAAACAAAUCUGAAAGACCUAAUUAGCUGUAAUUGUAAGGCAUAAUAACUUCGAAAAGGUAAAUCGUAAAGAGACAGUAAGCAAUGGCUUAACAGAUACCCAUUCUAUGGAUGUCAUCUUCAGUUUAUUCCCAAGGAACAAAGUAUGUGCAUCUCAUAUUCUUAUGCCAUUAUGUGCUCAUCUUUACUUUCUUUUUCAAGUAUAUGGCCCCAUCUUUCCGUUCAAGAAAAAUCUGAAAAUGUUUAUGGCCUCGUCUGCUGAAACAGGAGUUGAACAAGAGUGGCCGAAAACCGAGGCAGUGAGGAAGCACAUGGGCUUGUACGAAUGUACAACCAGACUAUGUUUCAUUUAGGCCUGAUUGCUAAGCCCAUUUAUUUAAAUUGGAUUAUUUCUGGGCCUUCUGGUGGAGCACAUGGGCUUGUACAAUUGUCCAACACAAGUUUAGACUAGAUUAGUAGGAUGCCUUUAUUCAUCCUUCUUUUUUUUUUCUGUAACUGUCGCUCGAAUAAAGUCAUUUAUCAACUUUGCUGGAAGAGUGGAAGAUUAGCAGUAAUCAGUGUAGUGGAGUAAGUUCUUUCUGUGUUGUCUCGUGAUCUGAUAUAACAUGCUGACCACUUGUAAACAUUGUAAGUUUGUUACACACUGGCACAACUCAGGAUCGAUCAUUACAAGGCAGUACUUUUUUUUAAAAUAAUAAUAAUAAUAAUCUUUGAGCAACACAAGCCACUGAAAUCAGGACAACCAAGUGUUGAGACUAUAGGUAAACUUCUGGUUCUAUUGUCAAGCCAACCUCAUUAAUUAGCUGCCUAACUUUUCAUCUUUCCUAAUCUUGGUCAUAGUCAAACAUGCACGGAAAUUUUUUUUUUCUUAUCUUAAUCGUAAUAGUCAAGCAUGCACGGACAGCCUCGUAAAGAAGAUUACACAAGUGCAGGUAUAAAUUUAACUUGAAGGAUCAUGUUGAUCCAUUCAGGCAGUAGCAGCAGCUAACCAACCAAACAAUGCUGAUUCACUGAAGAGUCAAGGAGAUGGGCAAUUUUUCCUCUGUUAGGAGCAACUGAUCAGGACGAGCUAAACUGAUAUCUCAUCACAAGCUACAUGCAUCAAAAUCCACUUCCUUAUCAAUCGCCACAAUUUCAUGCAUAAUCUUGUAACUACUUCAGGGCUCUUCAAUUCUUUCAGAGAUCAGUACCAAUUGAUUACCAAAUGAUAGUAUGAGCCGCAAAAGUGGUUGGGAAAACACUGCACUUUUGCGUCUCUGCAUUGCCUGAAGUUUAGCAAAGCUGUUGAGGCAUGCGUAUGCAUUGAUCAACAGAAAGAUCACAAUGCUGGCUAGUGUUAUGAUUUUCACAAGUCAAACAGAAGAAGUUUUGUGUUCAGCUACUCUGAAUUUGAGUUUUGUUUUUUCUGCAUCUACUGUUGUUAAGAUCUCUGAAACUCACGAAUGGUCGAGAUUUUCAGGGCCGAUUUGUCUCAUUAGCCGACGAAAUAAAGUACUACUCCCAAAUGCUUUGAUGAUCCCAAAUGCUGUCCGAUUCAAUUGAAAAGCCUGAUGAAGUAGUGGGGGGAGUUUCCAUGUUCUUUUCUGUCAUACCAGUGACCUGCUACCGAAGUACAUGCUUGUGACAUUUCUUGGACUAUCUGUACACCGAUAUACUAUCCCCAGUCUGUUUGAUCAUUCUGCAUUACACAGAUAUCCCAUCAUGUGAAAAAGAACUAUCUUAAUUUACACCGCUAGUGAUUUCUCUUGGGUGUAAUCAUAUAUUCAUAUUUGAGAGUAAGAAUGUCUGAAUUCAGAAUUUGAAAUGUCGAAAAGAUGAAAUUUUGAGGGAGAAAUGGGUUGAAAUAUAGGUGUGUGAGGGCUCUCCCUUUUGAGUUGAUCAGAGGUGUUUCAGUGUUUGUCACUACCGGUAUCUUAUUUUAAAUCGCUAAUCGUUUCUCUUGGGGACAACAUAUUUAUCACUGCAUUCGAGAGUAAGAACGCUUGAAUUCAGAAUUCGAAACCUCCAAAAGAUGAGAUUUUGAGGGAGAAAUGGCUCUAAAAUGUGAGCAUCUGAGGCUUUCACUUUCUCUUGAGUUGAUCAGAGGUGUUUGUCAGUACCGGUGGUUUGGAUGGCAAAACACGGCCAGGACCAGGGCUACGUCCAUAUCGCAUCAUCAACUGAUGCGACAUGAUUCUAGUUAGUCGGUAGGCGUGUCCAUCACCAACAUGUAUGUCCUUGUCCCUGCAGCCUCCAUCCCCUGCCUCUUCAUCGUGACAAACUCUGCAAUCUACUCUCUGCAGGAAAGAUAGAUAGCUUACCUGCAACCUGUGACAAAAGAAAACUGACAAUACGAUUCAGUCUAGAAAAAGACAGGGUUCUGCAUUGUGUUGUGGUAAUCAAAUUCUGUUCAUGUUGGACUAGUAAUGUCAUCUGAUUCGGCUAUCAUGUUUCAUGUUAGUUAGUAGAUGAUACUACUUAAGUCUUAACAUACAUAAUUAAUAUGCCUUGUUAGUUAAUUAUGUUAUCUUCUUCAGCACAUGUGACUGAAAAUCUAUGCUGCAUCUUCAUCCCAUUGUUUGUGAACUGGGAGACUGGAAAUUAUUAGUACUAGUGGAGCACUGGUGUUGCUAACAUCUGUUUCAUUCUGUGGGUCCUGGGGCCCAUUCAUUGCCAUCCCCUGAAAAUUCCAAGAACAAAUGGGGCCCACCUGGUGAUACUCUUGUGGGCCCAAGCGGCGCGGCUGUGUUAAGCUGAAAUGUGCUCAACGGUCCAAUUGCAAUCAGAGGGUUUAUCAGGUCAGCUCGUUUAAAAUAACACAGCAAAGAAUCUAAAAGCUGCAUUUCUCAUGCCAAAGUGCUGCUUCAGUCCACUGUGCUAUGAUAACAAUCUCCCUAUUCCGACAUAAAUAAUUCUGUUUUUGCUUGCAAGCUUGUAACAGGGAGUCAGGGACCCACAUUUUUGGGGUCCCAGAGAUUCUUUUUUCUGAGAAUUGAGAGUGUCAGCACUCAAUUAUGCAGUAGAUUACUACUGAGAAAGAGCUAGUGGUACCUGGUAAUGGAAGUGUUUGCUUCGUGCUUAGUGCUACUAAGUAAGACAGCUGUUGCAUCUAGCUUGUAACUGUUUAAUUACUGUGCAGGGCAGUGCAAAGCAUGUGGAUAUGGGUGAUGGGGAUCUUUGUGCCCCCAGUAUUGAGGUAGCCCAUGUGUGGUCUGCAGCUUAAUUAAUCAUUCAUUCAUGCAUCUAUCUUCUUUGUUAACAAAGGUAGUACUGGCUCCUUUACCCUGAAAUGCCUUCUGUUCUCCUUCUUAAUCAUGAUAGCAAGGUUUGCAUUUUUUUUUAGACAUUACAGGCACAAUUGGAAUUGGUACUUGCCUGGCAGUAAAAGAAGAAGUACAAUUGUAAUUUGAUCAAUUUUGUCAAAACUGUCCUUCCCUAACAAAGAAUUCCUUGUGAAGUAGUAGCAUGUAUAUGAUUCCUUAUUCUUUCCUCAUGCGUCAUGUCUGCUCAGCAAAUUAAUGAUUUCUUUUCAUAAAAAAGGAGCCUUAGUGAUUCUUCUUUUUUGAUUUGAAAGCAUACGAUGAUUCCAAUUUAAAAAAGCACACCAUAAAAUAGCCUUUUAGAGCUGAUCAUUCUCAUAGUUCCCCUUUGGUGCUUCUUCUUUUGAAGAUAAAGAUAGGCCUAGCAGGUGCAUCCACAAGGGAAAAAGGCAAACCAACUGUUUCCGUUGUCAAUUCUGAAUUACUAAUAUAAGAGUCUCUGGAUGCUGCAUAAUGCAGGCAACUUUUGAGAAUUAUCAAUAGACCAAGAAAGAGUACUACGCAAUUGCCUUGUCAUUUCAUUCCACUGAAUGCCAAGUGCAGAUCAAGCCAGAAGCACUAGGCAGUGUCAUUUUUGCUGAGGUGUAGCUAUCCAGGAUCAUAUCGGUAGAGAAGACCAAGAAAAAAGAUAGCCAUGUAUCUGUCUUCCAGACACUUCAAAAGGUGGAGUAGAAGAUAAACCUGCAUGAAAAUUCAGUGGUAGAAAAUUUACAAAAAAAUAUAUUUUUAUACGGUACAUAUACACCCUUGAAUUUCUGGUAUAAGUUCUGCAUACACAUGAUCAAACCAUGUACUGACAGCAACUGCACCAUUUCUUUGAGUCAUGUACUAUUGCAAUCUUGUAAGCAAUCUAGUAUAGUACUAAAUAUGUUUAGUCAACAACCAUAAUGUAUUUAGAACGACCUAGGAAAUUAAGCUGCAUAUGCAACGUACACUGUGCUAGAAGUCAAAUUCAGGUAGCCCAAGAAAAAACUUUACAUGCAAGCUACUCCAAUGACCAAUGGUCGCAGCGUGUGACUUCAUUGCACGCAUCAUCGUCUCUGUGGAGUUAACCAAAUCUCACGCCCCGACCUGCGAUUUGAGCCCAGAAAACUAAGUACAAACUGAAGAAGAAGAAGAAGAAGAAGAAGAUGAAGAAGAAGAAGAAGUGUUUGUGUCAUUGUGUGUUGCUGGUGAUCACCAACCAGGCCAUAAAUAACCGUAGUUAGAUCCAACCAACUUCCAGUGAUGCACUUGACCACACCACCAUGGCAACAGCAGCACUGACACCUUAAAUGCAAAUACAGUUAUCAAAAAAUAAAUUGUACUACUAGUAGUAGUAUACACUCUACUCUACUGUAUAAAUACUCCACUAGUAGCAGAGUGUGGAUUCAGUUCUUCCCUGUCCGGUUAGGUGCAGCACAUCUACGUUGCUUGCACGCCAGUUCUUCAUCCCUGUCUCCAGUGCACCCAUGGAUACAUGCGUGCAUAAUUUGUACAGUACUAGUACAGUAGUAGUACUGCUAGUUAUUAGUUUAUCACAUUCAAAAUCUUCAGUUUUGAUAUAACAGCAUCCUAGUACUGGUUUCAGGCUAGGGUACAACAGUACAGGUAAGUACCAGCAGUUGGCCAUAAAAUUUGUGAGAGUGAAACAGCGUUUUACUAUCAGGGAUGAUAACAAUAAUUGUGGUGAAACUCACGCGGCUAAACAGGAACUCAACCUUAGGAUCCCCUGACAAAACACAGCCACAGGCCACAGCAGCAUCAAACACAUGUGCCCUUAUUGUUUCGCCUAUGCGUUUAAAUUUUAAAACUUAAUUUAGAAAUUGAUUUUAUAGUUUUUUAUCAUAAUUUAUUUACAAUAUUUAAUUUUAAAUCGUUAAGAACACGAUAAAAUUUUGCUCAUCAAUUAGCUUUUUUACUAAUAAACGGUAAAAGAAAACAUUAGCAAAACAAUAAGACUCCAAUCACGUGCAACCGAGAUCAGGAUACUUUAUAGUGAUGAAUGAUAAACUCACGUAUCAGUAACAAAGUCUUCGUUCUUUUCAUGCCCAGGGAAGAAUAUUUCAUAGUUCACGCAAAACAAAAGGACUUGUUAGCACAUAAUGAAUUAAAUAUUUAAUUAUUGUAAACUUGAAAGAUGGAUUUAUUCGAUUGUUAAGCAACUUAUAUAAUCUUUUUUUAAAAAAUGUAUCGUUUAACGUGUUAAUAGAAAACGAGAUAAACAGGGCACACGAUGAUUUUGAAGGUAACCGAUGUUUAUCCGUGGCACCGUGCCAGUUUCGCGGGUGGCGCAGGCGCGCGGCCGAUUUUUGGUCCAUCUCUCCCGCAAUCCAACGCGUGCGCGGUGCGCCCGCCUCGCGGCAGGCAGCCGAGCUGUCUCCAACCGUGCCGUGCAGCCCAACUCGUCGUCCACCUCACACUCGCCGCAGCCUCCUCUCCUCCCCUCGCCGCCGCCUCCUCCAUCGCGGACGCGGCCUCGAGACCCCACACUUCCAAGUUCCAACCACAACACACACAAACCCCUCCUCCCUCCUCCACUUUUUCCGUCGGAAAAGACUCCGCCCCCUUUCCGCCCUCGCCUUCCUUCCCUCCUUUCUUCUCCCACCCUUUUCCAACCUAAACCUCUCCUCCUCCUCCCCCUCCUCGCCGCCGCCUCUCUUCCCAUCUCCCCUCACCUACUACUACCUCUCCAUGUCGCCGGAUAACUAGCGUCCCAACCAGCCUCGCCGGCGAGGAGGAAGGUGGUGUCUCGCAUUCUUCUUCGGGGGAUGGGGGUGGGGGAGGAGGAGGGACGCGGGAUGGCGAGCCUGCUGGCGGCGAGGCGGGCGCUGCGGGCCGGGGUGGAGAGGUCGCGGGCGCUCAGCCACGCGCUGGCGCGGGCGGGGCCCAGGCUCGGGGAGAUCCGGGCGAGGCUCCCGCCGAUGGAGGCGGCCGUGCGCCCGAUCCGCGCCCCGCGGGACGCGCUCGAGGGCGCCGGGGAGUGCGUCGACCGCGCCGUGGGGCCUGCCGCCGCCGUGCUCAAGGUGUUCGACGCCGUGCACGGCCUCGAGCCGCCGCUCCUCGCCGCCUCAGCCGCCGCCGACGACCUCCCCGGAUACCUCGCCGUGCUGUCCCGCCUCGAGGAGGCGCUCCACUUCCUCUCCGACAACUGCGGCAUCGCCUCCCAGUGGCUCGCUGACAUCGUCGAGUACCUCGGGGACCGCAGCCUCGCCGACCCCCGCUUCGUCUCCGACCUCGCCGAGGCGCUCUCCCACCUCAAGACCCCCUCCGCGAACCUCGACGGCGGCCUCCUCGCCGCUGCACUGGACAUUCUUGAGGCCGAGUUCCGUCGCCUCCUCACCGAACACUCAGCUCCGCUCGCCAUGAAAGAACCCAACAACAGCUCCGACCCUGGCUCCAUCACGCCGCCGCGGAUCCCCGCCUCCGCCGUGCACAAGCUGAGCUUGAUCCUUGACCGGCUCGCCGCUAAUGGGCGGCUCGGCACCUGCACGGCUGCCUACGCCGAUGCUCGUGGAGACACGGUGAGCGCCAGCCUUCGAGCGCUCGGCCUUGAUUACUUGCACGACCCAGCUGAGGAUGCUCAGGUUCUCACCCCAAACGUCGAGCAUUGGGGGCGGCAUCUGGAGUUCGCCGUGCGCCACCUCCUAGAGGCGGAGCGGAAGCUCUGCGUCGCUGUGUUUGAACGGCGGCCUGAAGCCGCAUCCUCAUGCUUCGCCGAGAUUGCGUCGCGUGCUGGCAUCCUUGAUUUUCUCAAGUUUGGCCGUGCUAUAUGUGAUGCCAGGAAGGAUCCCAUCAAGCUCUUGCGGUUGCUCGAUGUGUUUGAUUCUUUGAGCAAGCUGAGAAUGGACUUCAACCGGUUGUUUGGUGGAAAGGCAUGUGUCGAGAUCCAAACCCGAACCAGGGAGCUUGUCAAGAGGGUGGUGGAUGGUUCCGUGGAGAUAUUUGAGGAAUUGCUCGUGCAGGUAGAGCUGCAGCGCAAUAUGCCGCCUCCAGCUGAUGGCGGAGUGCCACGCAUAGUUAGCUUUGUUGCCAAGUACUGCAAUCAGCUCCUUGGGGACCCGUAUCGCUCUGUGCUCACGCAGGUGCUCGUCAUCCAUCGCAGCU